AGAUCGACUAUGUUGAAUAAAUUCUAGGUAGAAUUAUGAUAAUGACAUUGUCUGCCUAUGUGUCUUGACCAAAUUACGUGCCAGCAGUCGCGGUAAUACGUAGAAGACUAGUGUUAUUCAUGUUUAAUCGGUUUAAAGGGUACCUAGACGGUAGAUCAAGCUUUCUAAUAAAUGAAAAGGACUAAUUUACUAGAGUUACUUAUGAGGGGGUAUUAAAGUACUGCUGGUGUAGAGAUGAAAUUCUGUCAUACCUCUUUUCAAAAGAAAAACCAUGGCACAGGUAUAGGCGAAGGCAUCCCCUUAUGUGAUAACUGACGUUGAGGGACGAAGGCUUUGUGUAGCGAACAGGAUUAGAUACCCCAGUAGUCGAAGCAGAAAAUGAUGAAUGUCAUAGAUUAGAUGUAUAAGUUUAUUCUAUAAAUGAAAGUGUAAGCAUUCCACCUCAUGAGUAAUUUGGCAACAUUGGAACUGAAAUCAUUAGACCGUUUCUGAAACCAGUAGUGAAGUAUGUUGUUUAAUUUGAUGAUCCGCAAAAAACCUUACCACAAUUUGAAUAUUUAUAUUUUUUUUAUUGUUUUUUUCUUAAGAGAUAAAUAAUUAAAGAAAAAAAUCAAAAAAGGAAGAAAAUUAAGAAAGAGGCAAUAAGAUAUAUUUACAAGCGUUGCACGGCUGUCUUCAGUUAAUGUCGCGAGACUUUGGUUAGUUCCAUUAAAUUAACGUAAACCCUUACUUUAUUUUUAUAUAGAGUAGUUCCCCGCUAUAUUGGAUAUGAUAACAGG
RNAcentral lists this ribosomal RNA (779 nucleotides) under Xanthoparmelia sp. RNAcentral describes it as "partial small subunit ribosomal RNA". It matches the Rfam family "Bacterial small subunit ribosomal RNA", at positions 409 to 1152 of the family's 1533-position model. The record is from RNAcentral. Lineage: Eukaryota; Fungi; Ascomycota; Lecanoromycetes; Lecanorales; Parmeliaceae.